CACGUGGGUAACCUGCCUGUAAGACUGGGAUAACUCCGGGAAACCGGAGCUAAUACCGGAUAGUUCCUUGAACCGCAUGGUUCAAGGAUGAAAGACGGUUUCGGCUGUCACUUACAGAUGGACCCGCGGCGCAUUAGCUAGUUGGUGGGGUAAUGGCUCACCAAGGCGACGAUGCGUAGCCGACCUGAGAGGGUGAUCGGCCACACUGGGACUGAGACACGGCCCAGACUCCUACGGGAGGCAGCAGUAGGGAAUCUUCCGCAAUGGACGAAAGUCUGACGGAGCAACGCCGCGUGAGUGAUGAAGGUUUUCGGAUCGUAAAGCUCUGUUGUUAGGGAAGAACAAGUGCGA
RNAcentral lists this ribosomal RNA (351 nucleotides) under uncultured Bacillus sp. RNAcentral describes it as "bacterial SSU rRNA". It matches the Rfam family "Bacterial small subunit ribosomal RNA", at positions 114 to 458 of the family's 1533-position model. Lineage: Bacteria; Bacillati; Bacillota; Bacilli; Caryophanales; Bacillaceae. The record is from RNAcentral.